RNAcentral lists this ribosomal RNA (482 nucleotides) under uncultured bacterium. RNAcentral describes it as "partial 16S ribosomal RNA". It matches the Rfam family "Bacterial small subunit ribosomal RNA", at positions 30 to 507 of the family's 1533-position model. The record is from RNAcentral.
AUUGAACGCUGGCGGCAUGCUUUACACAUGCAAGUCGAACGGUAACAGGCCGCAAGGUGCUGAUGAGUGGCGCACGGGUGAGUAAUGCACCGGUACGUGCCCAGCCGUGGGCUUUAACUACUCGUCAGAGAACCUAAUACCGUACACGAUCUAUGCAUGUAAGCGGGGGUCCGUAUGGCAUCGCCCGAUCGGAGCGGCCGGUGCCAGGUGCGGUUGUUGGUGGGGUAAAGGCUCACCCAGCCCACGAUCUGUAGCUGUUCUGGGGGGACGACGAGCGACACGGGGACUGGGACACGGCCCAGACUCCUACGGGAGGCCGCAGUGGGGGAUUGUAGACAAUAGGCGCAAGCCUGAUCCAGCAAUGCCACGUGCAGGAAGAAAGCCUUCGGGUUGUAAACUGCGUUUGUAGGGAACGAAACGGCUCUGGUUAAUACCCGGGGCUAGUGACGGUACCGUGAGAAUAAGCACCGGCUAACUACGUG